CAUUCCAGUUACAAACCUCGGCCAUCUUCAUCCAAUAAGCUUGGAUAGUAUAUCAACAUAUAGUGACCAACAUUAACAUACAAUGUAAAUGGUUAAUGAUGCAAUCAUGAUGAAAUGAAGUUUUAAAUCACAUAUAAGAGAAACUUUUAUACCUUGCAAAGUAUACAUGAAGUUCGUCGACGUCGGAUGGAUCAAAUUUGUAUUUUGCGACACACGUUGUGUGAGAGAGAAUGGCAUUGGUGUGGGGCUGGAAAACUAUGAAAUGGAGAGUGGCAUUGGUGUGAACUUGGGAUAUUAUUUCCGGAGAGGUGGUUGGACAUUGAUUCCUCCAUCAAUCAUAUUACUUUGGCUUGUUGUCGAUCUUUCAUGAGUGCUGGAUGUCUAACUGGGCUGCAUGUACGUAAAAGGCAACUGUAAUUUGUAACAUUGAAACAUUCACACAUUCAAAAAUACUUUGUCCGACAUACCUUCGAUUUCUUCAAUGUAGCAAUGGGCUUUUUCUUCUAAAUUUCCUUGGCACUCCCUUUCUUCGAGUGAACUUCGGAUCCAAUACAUUGGCGCUCGCAGUAUUUGAUAAAUCAGUGCAUUGAGUGUCAACCCAAGAAGUAUUUAAGGUUAGGAGAUUACUUCAUGUACUCGAUUUUGUGGUCACAAGCUCUUUACAUUAAAAUUUUAUCCACUCCAUGAUCGCACGUGAAUGCAUUUCAUCAUCUGCUACAAGGUUUGCCACCUCUGCCAAACCUUUAGACAUCUGUUCAUAUCUCAAUUGUGCAGGAGUACUAACUAACCCAUCAUAAUUUACCACAACCUUCGUGUGUGCUCUUCGAACAUCUCUCCUCCGCCUUCGCAGUAUGUACCUCUUCGGAAUAUGUGUGACGUCAUUCCAUACUAGCACUGUGAUCGCAUGUCUACAAAGUAUUUUUCAAAACUCAAACAAGUGGCAGGUGUAAACAACAUCACAUUUAUCUCUCGUGAAUGACAUGGUAAAUGUCUUUUUCCUCCUAGAACCCUUCUACAUAACUGUCUUUCUUACUUCGUAGGUCGCACCAAUACAUCUGUCCAAAGUAGAUAGCACAUCUUAGUACACCUUUCCCGUGAACUCUUCUUGAACUUCACGAAAUUUCAAAAUUGUGUAAACUGAUUGAAACUAUUGCUCAAUUUCAAAUUGUGUUGCACAUGACACCAUUUGCGAGAACGACUUGAAUCGGCUUCGACUUCCUUCUCAACCUUAUUUCGAAGGGCGCUUUCGUACUGUUUUACAAACUACUUUAAUGAGGAUUUAGAAUGAACAUAGCCAUCAAAAAAUGCAUUCAUACUCUCGCUUCUCUGUAUCGUUGACAUCCCAGCCCAAAAUGUGGUUUUCAGGAAGCAAGGAACCCAACGUCCUCUGUUCUCAUACAAUCAUUAUCAUGCAAGUCAUACAUAUCAAUUAUCGUUCUCCAACCGUUUUCAAAUUCUUCAUUGGAUUGUGAAUCAUACACUGAUCUGUAUAUAGCCCCAAAUAUCAAAUGCUUAUUCACUUGGUAGCUAAAUUUCUUCGAUAAUUUCUUCAAAAUGUGCCACAAACAUCAUCUAUGCUUGGUAUUUGGAAAGACAAUUUGGGCUGCAUUUUGCAUUGCCCUGUCUUGAUCGGUAAUUAUAUCAUGUGGAGCUUGAUCAUGCAUACAUUGAAGCCAUGUUUUGAACAACUAUACAAAAAUAUCUGUG
RNAcentral lists this long non-coding RNA (1707 nucleotides) under Olea europaea subsp. europaea. Lineage: Eukaryota; Viridiplantae; Streptophyta; Magnoliopsida; Lamiales; Oleaceae. The record is from RNAcentral.